This 688-nucleotide long non-coding RNA is filed under the name Cricetulus griseus (Chinese hamster). Its description in RNAcentral is "lncRNA (ENSCGRG00015040457.1)". The record is from RNAcentral. Lineage: Eukaryota; Metazoa; Chordata; Mammalia; Rodentia; Cricetidae.
UUUUCUUAAAUUUCCACAUCAUAGCCCAUCAUCAAAGGAAGUCAGGGCAGGAUCCUGGAGGCAGGAGAUGAGGCAGAGGCCAUGGAGGAGAGCUGCUUACUGGCUUGUUCCUUAUGGAUGGUUCAGCCUGCUUUCUUAUAGCAUCUAGGACCAUCAUCCCAGGUUCCUGCUUGAUUUCCUAUCCUGAUGUCUCAAUGCAGAAUGUGAUGGGGAAGAAACCAAAUUAGGACAAACGGCAGGCACUUUGGCAACUGCACCACCUCCUCAACUCCUACUGUCAUCAUAGUACCUUCAUCCAGUAACUGAUGGAAGCAAAUGCAAAGAUCCUCAUCCAAGCACCAGGCUAAGCUACAGCUGUCCAGUCGAAGAGAAAGAAGGAUUAUAUGAGCAAAGAGGGUCAAGAUCAUGAUGGGGAAACUCACAGAGACAGUGGACCUGAACUUGCUGGAGCUCACGGACUCAUUGAACUAUAUACUGAAUGCAGAGACUGAUUUGUGGAAAGUUGGUGUCAUGAUAUUAUUGAAUCAUGUGAAUAACGUGAGCAUCAUGUGGCUGGGCCCAAUCCCAGGAUGCAUUAUUUAGAUUCUAUCCCUGAUGACAUCCAAUAAACCAAUCUUAAGGAAAGGAAUGACUUGUAAUGAUGUGUACUUACAUGCUAAGAAGAAAUCAAGGAUAACUUAGCUAGAAG